Triticum aestivum (bread wheat) is the source of this 115-nucleotide non-coding RNA. The record is from Rfam. NCBI's taxonomy places the organism in Eukaryota, Viridiplantae, Streptophyta, Magnoliopsida, Poales, Poaceae.
UUUGUACUCCCUUCGUUCGGAAUUACUUGUCUCGGUAAUAGAUGUAUUUAAAACUAAAAUACAUUUAAAUACAUUCAUUUCUACGACAAGUAAUUCCGAACGGAAGGAGUAGAUA